Molecule: long non-coding RNA, 246 nt
Filed under: Mytilus galloprovincialis (Mediterranean mussel)
Lineage: Eukaryota; Metazoa; Mollusca; Bivalvia; Mytilida; Mytilidae
Source: RNAcentral
CUGGAUCAAGAAUGUUAAAUAAAAUAUGUUUUUGUAAAUUUGGACGACAUUUGACUUGCAAUUAUGUACCAUUUACUACACUGGAUGUAGUACAGACUUGCAGUCCCGUACCAUUUCAACACUUGAAGAAGUACGUUUGUCUGAGCGAAGCCAAUUGGAAGUAUGUACCUCUUAGUGAAGCUAAUUGGGAGCACACCCUCUGUCUUGUUGCGAAGCUGAUUGGAAGCAGUACAUAUAUACCUCUGU